Molecule: ribosomal RNA, 476 nt
Filed under: uncultured bacterium
Lineage: Bacteria
Description: bacterial SSU rRNA
Rfam family: Bacterial small subunit ribosomal RNA
Source: RNAcentral
AUGAAACACUCCUACGGGAGGCAGCAGUGGGGAAUAUUGCACAAUGGGCGCAAGCCUGAUGCAGCGACGCCGCGUGAGGGAUGGAGGCCUUCGGGUUGUAAACCUCUUUCGCUCAUGGUCAAGCCGCAACUGUGGGUUGUGGUGAGGGUAGUGGGUAAAGAAGCGCCGGCUAACUACGUGCCAGCAGCCGCGGUAAUACGUAGGGCGCGAGCGUUGUCCGGAAUUAUUGGGCGUAAAGGGCUUGUAGGCGGUUGGUCGCGUCUGCCGUGAAAUCCUCUGGCUUAACUGGGGGCGUGCGGUGGGUACGGGCUGACUUGAGUGCGGUAGGGGAGACUGGAACUCCUGGUGUAGCGGUGGAAUGCGCAGAUAUCAGGAAGAACACCGGUGGCGAAGGCGGGUCUCUGGGCCGUUACUGACGCUGAGGAGCGAAAGCGUGGGGAGCGAACAGGAUUAGAAACCCUAGUAGUCCGAAGUUC